AUCCAUCUGACGUGUCCUACAUAGGACGAAACACUCGUCCUAGAU
Molecule: non-coding RNA, 45 nt
Filed under: Schistosoma margrebowiei
Lineage: Eukaryota; Metazoa; Platyhelminthes; Trematoda; Strigeidida; Schistosomatidae
Source: RNAcentral